AUUGAACGCUGGCGACAUGCCUUACACAUGCAAGUCGAACGGCAGCACGGGUGCUUGCACCUGGUGGCGAGUGGCGAACGGGUGAGUAAUACAUCGGAACAUGUCCUGUAGUGGGGGAUAGCCCGGCGAAAGCCGGAUUAAUACCGCAUACGAUCUACGGAUGAAAGCGGGGGACCUUCGGGCCUCGCGCUAUAGGGUUGGCCGAUGGCUGAUUAGCUAGUUGGUGGGGUAAAGGCCUACCAAGGCGACGAUCAGUAGCUGGCCUGAGAGGACGACCAGUCACACUGGGACUGAGACACGGCCCAGACUCCUACGGGAGGCAGCAGUGGGGAAUUUUGGACAAUGGGCGAAAGCCUGAUCCAGCAAUGCCGCGUGUGUGAAGAAGGCCUUCGGGUUGUAAAGCACUUUUGUCCGGAAAGAAAUCCUUGGCCCUAAUACGGUCGGGGGAUGACGGUACCGGAAGAAUAAGCACCGGCUAACUACGUG
This 486-nucleotide ribosomal RNA is filed under the name uncultured bacterium. RNAcentral's name for it is "partial 16S ribosomal RNA". It matches the Rfam family "Bacterial small subunit ribosomal RNA", at positions 30 to 507 of the family's 1533-position model. The record is from RNAcentral.